AGCGAACGCUGGCGGCAGGCCUAAUACAUGCAAGUCGAGCGGCCGUAGCAAUACGGCAGCGGCAGACGGGAGAGUAACACGUGGGAACGUACCUUUUGGUUCGGAACAACCCAGGGAAACUUGGGCUAAUACCGGAUAAGCCCGCAAGGGGAAAGAUUUAUCGCCAAAAGAUCGGCCCGCGUCCGAUUAGCUAGUUGGUGGGGUAAUGGCCCACCAAGGCGACGAUCGGUAGCUGGUCUGAGAGGAUGAUCAGCCUCACUGGGACUGAGACACGGCCCAGACUCCUACGGGAGGCAGCAGUAGGGAAUAUUGGACAAUGGGCGCAAGCCUGAUCCAGCCAUGCCGCGUGGGUGAUGAAGGCCUUAGGGUUGUAAAGCCCUUUCGGCGGGAAGAUAAUGACGGUACCCGCAGAAGAAGCCCCGGCUAACUACGUGCCAGCCGCCGCUGUAAC
This 451-nucleotide ribosomal RNA is filed under the name uncultured bacterium. RNAcentral's name for it is "bacterial SSU rRNA". It matches the Rfam family "Bacterial small subunit ribosomal RNA", at positions 29 to 524 of the family's 1533-position model. The record is from RNAcentral.